RNAcentral lists this non-coding RNA (26 nucleotides) under Homo sapiens (human). Lineage: Eukaryota; Metazoa; Chordata; Mammalia; Primates; Hominidae. The record is from RNAcentral.
UACCAAUAUUGUAACCAGGCACGUCU